CUUGACCGAGCCGAGCAAUAACGGCUCGUCCCGGUCCUGCCCGUAGGUCGCCAACAAGGCCUGUGCUUC
Molecule: non-coding RNA, 69 nt
Organism: Actinoalloteichus hymeniacidonis
Lineage: Bacteria; Bacillati; Actinomycetota; Actinomycetes; Pseudonocardiales; Pseudonocardiaceae
Source: Rfam